Molecule: ribosomal RNA, 858 nt
Filed under: delta proteobacterium SCGC AAA007-G04
Lineage: Bacteria; Deltaproteobacteria
Description: SSU rRNA
Rfam family: Bacterial small subunit ribosomal RNA
Source: RNAcentral
GCCUAGCACAUGUAAGUCGAACGAGAAAGUUCCUUCGGGAGCAAUUGAAGUGGCGCACGGGUGAGUAACGCGUAGACAAUCUGCCCUUCAGUCUGGGACAACUUUUCGAAAGGAGAGCUAAUACCGGAUAACAAUGCAUGACACAAGUUGUAUAUUUGAAAGCUUUAUGUGCUGAAGGAGGGGUCUGCGUCCCAUUAGCUAGUUGGUAGGGUAAAGGCUUACCAAGGCAACGAUGGGUAGCGGGUUUGAGAGGACGAUCCGCCACACUGGAACUGAGACACGGUCCAGACUCCUACGGGAGGCAGCAGUGGGGAAUAUUGCACAAUGGAGGCAACUCUGAUGCAGCAAUGUCGCGUGAGUGAAGAAGGCCCUUGGGUCGUAAAGCUCUUUUAUGGGGGAAGAUGAUGACGGUACCCCAAGAAUAAGCACCGGCUAACUAUGUGCCAGCAGCCGCGGUAAUACAUAGGGUGCGAGCGUUGUUCGGAAUUACUGGGCGUAAAGGGCGCGCAGGCGGAAUAGUAAGUCGGAGGUGAAAGCCCGGGGCUCAACCCCGGAGGGUCUUUCGAAACUGCUAAUCUAGAGAGGGUCAGGGGCCGGCAGAAUUCCUGGUGUAGAGGUGAAAUUCGUAGAUAUCAGGAGGAAUACCGGUGGCGAAGGCGGCCGGCUGGGGCCACUCUGACGCUGAGGCGCGAAAGCGUGGGGAGCAAACAGGAUUAGAUACCCUGGUAGUCCACGCCGUAAACGAUGAGCACUGGACGUCCGGAGGGUUCGACCCUUCUGGGUGUCUCAGCUAACGCAUUAAGUGCUCCGCCUGGGGAGUACGGUCGCCAGGAACUAAACCUCUAAUAGGAAUUAGGC